GGUAAAUAAAAACUAAUUAAGCAGCAUCAAAAGUCCACAAUUAGUUCACCAGCCUUCUAACCCGCUCAGAGUUCAUCUGGGGUAUACAGACUGUAUGAGUGUCCCUCUUUUCUCCGAGGCUUGGUAGCUUACGCCGAUGUGCAUUAUCUGAUUGCUUCCUGGUUCUGGUUCGUGCCGCGUUUCGCCCCUCCUCCUGGGGCUUUCUCAAACGUGAGAAUAAGAGAAGAUGUAGUCCACAACCUCUGGAUUGUCAAAGGUUAUCUAGGCCUGAUUUAUUGUUACGCGUCCUUGUGUUUAAAUUUUUUUUGGAUUUUACCUUUAAAAUAUAUUUUGCUUUACACUGCCCAACCACAUAUUAUGUUACUUAAGGCACAUGUGGGGAUGGAAAGAAGGAGAUUAUUGGGUAGGAUCUUCCAUUAGGAUAUUUCUAAUUAUUUGUAAUCCCCUUUCACACAGAGGAUCCGGGACAGAUCUGGAAACUAAACUCGGGAGUGGCACUGCUAGGUUUUGUGACAUUCUAAAUACCUGCACACAUUAAGGCAUGCAGUUUCUGCUGUUGAAGUGACACCCUAAUUCCCAUCUGACAAAUCAAUUAAAUGCCUCCUUUACACUGUAUGUGUAGUGGUGGUCCUUUUUAGUAGCUUGGAUGCAGGUAUUUAGUGACAAAGUGGGGACGAUCCUUAAUUUUGUCCCUGCUACCAGUCAAAAAAAUACAUAAAUACACUGGCUUCCUCACUGCAGUGGAUUUGUACAGAAGCAAGGGUGCAUCAUCAGUUUCCCUCGAAUUUGAUUGUUAACCCCUCAUCAAAAAGCACUUAAGGUGAUGCAAAAUGGUAGACCAUUGAGUAGUUUCUCCUAUUAGGAAGAGGCCCACUGGACGCCCAUAUAAAUUUAAUUGUAAUCCCCAAUCUCACCCUUGGACCUCUGUUAUUUUAUCCCUCCAGCUUCUGUACAGGGGAGGAGAUGGAACAGGAAUCACAUAGCCAGUUUUUGAAGGGCCCACUGGACCUCCAUAACAAUUACUGGUAAUACCAUCCUACCACACAAGAGAUUGAUUGCAUCAACUCUUGUGUAUUGCAACAACACAUAUUAUAUAGGUGUUGUUGUUUUUUUUUUUUAAAUGUCUUUCAUUUGAUCUCAUACAAAAUCUAAUGAAUUAUAAAAUAAAUAAAUGACAGGAUCACUGCACCUAAACCACUUAAUUGAGAGGAAGUGGUUUGGGUGACUUUCGUGGUAAUUUUACCUUCAUAUUGCUGCCAUAGGGUGUGAGAAAGUAAGAAGGACCAUAUGGUUGCAUUAUUGCCAGCUUACAUUAUGUAUGUUUAAAUACUUACCUGAUGGAUGUUUGUGCAACUAGAGUGCAAAUACUAAAGAUUUGAGGUUUUGCUGGUCAAAGAAGUUGAUGAAAUCUCCAACUGUGUCUUUAACAGUUCAGAGUUCUGUGAAUUAUUUGUAUUUCAUUAAUAAAAUAUUUGAAUGUUAUACUUUAUAUGGAAUCCUGAUCAGUUCACAUUUGUGUUUUUUUUAGCAGGCACUAAUUAAUCUGAAUUGCUUGGUGUAUUUAGUACAUUGUCUUUACAAUUCUCAUUUUUGGGGUUCUCCAGAUCUCCGGUAAUAACUGACUGUUUUAUUUGCAUAAAAUAAUCAAAACCCUCCUUUCAUUACACUUAAACAUGCUAAAUUACGAGGUCAAUUGCUACAUAGCCCGCUGAUUGCAAAGGUUAUUGCUGUAAAUAAAUAAACACUCAUAGCACAUAACGGUGAGCUUUAGUGCAUGGAGAUUUGUAUUUGUGAGGUUUAUUAUUGCACAGCUCUGUUAUAAGUCUUGGAGGACAGUAAUAUGAAGCAUGCAUUGUGUAUUUCAUUUCUGUGAUUCUUGUAGACAUCUGCACCCGUUAUUUGGUUUGAAGCAACACCAGAAACUAAUAUUGGGGCAAGUGCCUUAAAAAGGGAUAUAUGGGGUCUCUAAAAUACUGCUUAACACGCACUGCAUAUGAUCACAAUAUAAUAAACCAUAGCCUGGGAAAUAGGUUUGUCUCAUGAAGCAUUACAAAUUAUAAUAUGUCCAUGACUCCAUUAUUUUACACAAAUGUGUGAGAAUUGAGAGAGUGGUGGAAAAGGUAUGAAGAAAAAGAUAGUUUAACUACACUGCAGUGAAUCAAAAUAGUCCUUAAAACCAAGACAGAUUAGAUAUAAUUUCAAUGGGAAGUAUUUAGUGCCUCCCAUUACAAAGAAGGUUUUAGGUCAGAAGGUGAUCUGACCCAAUUCCCUCCUCCCUCGCCACAUAACAUUACAAACAAAUAGUAGGAGUAUCACAAAGUAUUAGUUCUAUAACAUUAGUCAUUUAUAGAUUGAGAGAAUGUAUGAAAUACUUUCAGGACCUCCUGGCUCCAUGUUAAGCUGCAACAGGUACACGGCUUACCCCCUACAACAAUGGUUGAGUACUUACCUUGGGAGGGUGUCAGGACACUGCUG
Molecule: long non-coding RNA, 2475 nt
Filed under: Pelobates cultripes (western spadefoot toad)
Lineage: Eukaryota; Metazoa; Chordata; Amphibia; Anura; Pelobatidae
Source: RNAcentral